Oncorhynchus keta (chum salmon) is the source of this 1746-nucleotide long non-coding RNA. RefSeq lists it as uncharacterized. The record is from RefSeq and is a predicted model, not a curated record. Lineage: Eukaryota; Metazoa; Chordata; Actinopteri; Salmoniformes; Salmonidae. The transcript has 3 exons.
CCCUAAUGUUCCCUGAUUAAGAGGUGAUGACUACUCCACUCCACUACCAUCGUCAACUUUCUCCUGACAUGAACUGAAGCCACAAUGUCUCAUGUUUCUGCUCUUCUACUGGCACAUUGGAUGUUUCCCCUCUAAGCACUUCAAAUCCUGUCCUGCCCUGAAGUCAAUCCUCUGAACACCUCAACUCAUGCCUCAUACCCUCAUUCAAUCACUGCUGUGAUCCCUUUCCGACACGGUGGUCCUCCAUCCCUGUGACCGACAUGGUUGACGUAUGGACACUGGAGAGGACAUGGAUGUCUCGUUUGUCGUGCCAGCUGUUGACCAUUCUCCUUGAACUCAACCUCCCCCUCUGCAGCUUCCUGCUUCCGAAUCCCGGCAUACCCUUCCUGUUCGACCUGACUGUGCCACAGGUCCCUGUGCCGUUGGAGAGCAGAUGCUGGAAGACUUCUGUACCAAUUGUCCACAUACAAAGUGUCAGGUUGGCUGUAGCAUUGUUGAGGAAAUGCAGGCAUCACAGCAGAACUAGGAAGGUCUUGGGAAAAGAGAAGGGUGUUGCAAACAUCUGUGGGACCAGUAUUCCCUUAGGGAAUGAGAAGGACUAUCACCAGGAAGGUAUACAUUUCACUACUUGUAGUUAUCACCCAUUUAGUGAGUUUCCCCCUCACUCCUGGCUCUCUCUUCUCCUGUAGCUCCAAGGCAUAGUGAUUGGUCUCCUCUGCUAUGUCUCCCACCAGCUCCUCUGUCAGAAACAGCUUGAAGCACUCUGCCUCAGAUGGAAAUGGGAAGGGGAGUUGCUCUCCAGCCCGGGACUCAUCAAAGCAAACAGCAGGGCCAGGAGGGGUGAAAUGGCUGGUGGCCUUCCAGCUACCAUAUGUACUUCAUCCACUGUCGGUCUACCUCCAUCACCAAUAUCUUCAAAGGGACCUGGGACUUCGUCAGUGGACAAGGGGUCCUCAGAUUCAGGGUUCUCAAUGGCCAGAAGGUUGGGGGGGCAGCUCUUCACUGUCACUGUCAGAAUCAGAUUGCUGACUUUCAGACUCACAGCUGCACCACCGAGAGCAUCCUGACAGGAUGGAUCACCGCCUGGUAUGGCAACUGUUCAGCAUCUGACCGUAAGGCGUUACAGAGGGUAGUGCGUACGGCCCAGUACAUCACUGGGGCCAAGCUUCCUGCAAUCCAGGAGGAAAGCCCCAAAAAUUGUCAGAGACUCCAGUCACCCAAGUCAUAGACUGUUUUCUCUGCUACCUACAUGUACAAAUUGCCUUGACUAACCUGUACUCCUGCACAUUGUCUCGGUACCGGUACCCCCUGUAUAUAGCCUCGUUAUUGAUAUUUUAUUGUGUUACUUGUUAUUAUUUUUGAAUUUAUUGUAUUUGGUAAAUAUUUUCUGAACUCUUCUUGAACUGCACUGUUGGUUAAGGGCUUAUAAGUAAGCAUUCACGAUAAGGUCUACCCUUGUUGUAUUCGGCACAUUUAACAAAUAAAGUUUGAUAUGAUUUGGUAACUCAAUGUAAGAUUGCAUUACUCUAUUUUUUAUAACAUGAACAAUGUAUAGCUUUAAAAAAAAUUCUGAGUAGGCUUAUGUCUGAGUAGGCUUAUGUGUUGGGUCAAAUGUAGGGAUAAGUGGUGGUUUCGUUACCACAGAUUACACCUAGUCCGAGAACAGAAAUUAUUUUGGCUGGAGAUUUUUCAUUGAUCUUGCUUUUCAGUCCAGGACUAGGGUUAAUCUGUGUCUGGGAAAACCUC